Panicum virgatum (switchgrass) is the source of this 390-nucleotide long non-coding RNA. RefSeq lists it as uncharacterized. The transcript is spliced from 2 exons. NCBI's taxonomy places the organism in Eukaryota, Viridiplantae, Streptophyta, Magnoliopsida, Poales, Poaceae. The record is from RefSeq and is a predicted model, not a curated record.
UUGUUGUCAACUGUUUAAUUCUUUUGCAUGCCAUAAUGAUAUAUCCUGUAUAAAAAGAAUUUGAUGGUCAGCUCAUGUUCAGGUCUAAAUAGUUGCAAAUUACUUACUUCUGUAGCAGUGUGCUGGAUCAAGAUGACAAAUCCUUGACAAACUGGCCAAAGAAAGGCGUCCCUGCAAUCUGACUAAAAGAAGGCGAUUUGGUCGAGAGAAGAUGGACUAAUCCUUUCGGCUAGAUCUGGCUAAAAGAUGUCUGCGCAAGACAAAAAGUUGAUUGUAUUGGUGCUAUAUUUAUAUAUUAUAAGCUUGAGAAUACGUGUUAGACUUGGUCCCGACACCUGAGCAACAAAAAGUUUUAUUUCCAUAAAAAUACGUGUUGUGAUGUGACGUUUC